AACACGGAGAGUUUGAUCCUGGCUCAGAACUAACGCUGGCGGC
RNAcentral lists this ribosomal RNA (43 nucleotides) under Leptospira interrogans. Its description in RNAcentral is "partial 16S rRNA". The record is from RNAcentral. Lineage: Bacteria; Pseudomonadati; Spirochaetota; Leptospiria; Leptospirales; Leptospiraceae.